UACGGAGGGUGCAAGCAUUAAUCGGAAUUAUUGGGCGUAAAGGGCGCGUAGGCGGAGAUGUAAGUCAGAUGUGAAAUCCCGGGGCUCAACCUCGGAACAGCAUUUGAAACUACAUCCCUUGAGGGUAGGCGGAGAAAACGGAAUUCCACAAGUAGCGGUGAAAUGCGUAGAUAUGUGGAAGAACACCGGUGGCGAAAGCGGUUUUCUAGCUUAUUCCUGACGCUGAGGCGCGAAAGCAAGGGGAUCAAACAGGAUUAGAAACCCGAGUAGU
Molecule: ribosomal RNA, 271 nt
Filed under: uncultured bacterium
Lineage: Bacteria
Description: partial 16S ribosomal RNA
Rfam family: Bacterial small subunit ribosomal RNA
Source: RNAcentral